This 429-nucleotide ribosomal RNA is filed under the name bacterium. Its description in RNAcentral is "partial 16S ribosomal RNA". It matches the Rfam family "Bacterial small subunit ribosomal RNA", at positions 355 to 776 of the family's 1533-position model. The record is from RNAcentral.
UAGGGAAUCUUCGGCAAUGGGGGCAACCCUGACCGAGCAACGCCGCGUGAGUGAAGAAGGUUUUCGGAUCGUAAAGCUCUGUUGUAAGAGAAGAACGUGUGUGAGAGUGGAAAGUUCACACAGUGACGGUAACUUACCAGAAAGGGACGGCUAACUACGUGCCAGCAGCCGCGGUAAUACGUAGGUCCCGAGCGUUGUCCGGAUUUAUUGGGCGUAAAGCGAGCGCAGGCGGUUUAAUAAGUCUGAAGUUAAAGGCAGUGGCUUAACCAUUGUUCGCUUUGGAAACUGUUAAACUUGAGUGCAGAAGGGGAGAGUGGAAUUCCAUGUGUGGCGGUGAAAUGCGUAGAUAUAUGGAGGAACACAGGUGGCGAAAGCGGCUCUCUGGUCUGUAACUGACGCUGAGGCUCGAAAGCGUGGGGAGCAAACAGG